CCGCGAACUGAUGAUCAUGAAUAUCUUUCGAAGGUCUCUUGAAGCCGUAUAAGCGUCUAGCUUCUACGGGUAUCUAUAUGAGACUUUGAUCUAAUCAGAAGCAUCUUGAUCUCACUGGAAUGCUAGCUCCCUUGCAGAAAUUAUAUCUUGAUAGUUGAAAAUCUUCUUUUCUCUUAAGAUACUUUUACAAAAGAAGAAGAAAUAGGAGGAUGAUGAUCUCUACGCU
Molecule: long non-coding RNA, 226 nt
Filed under: Elaeis guineensis (African oil palm)
Lineage: Eukaryota; Viridiplantae; Streptophyta; Magnoliopsida; Arecales; Arecaceae
Description: long non-coding RNA (EGUI_LNC077305)
Source: RNAcentral